Oreochromis aureus is the source of this 482-nucleotide long non-coding RNA. RefSeq lists it as uncharacterized. The record is from RefSeq and is a predicted model, not a curated record. The transcript has 3 exons. Lineage: Eukaryota; Metazoa; Chordata; Actinopteri; Cichliformes; Cichlidae.
GGGGAGAGUGUGCACGUUUUGUACGUCAGAGAAAUGUGCACAAGUGUGAAUGAAGGUGUUCAAAUAAAGUCCUCUGUACACUGGCAGAAACAAAUCAGUACCCUUAAAUGCCCUGCCUGACAGAGCCGAGGAUAACGCUCUCAGUGUUUCUGAAGACCCAGCCCGAAUCAGAGAUCUCAAACUUCCAUGUCCAAGGCUACCCUGUGACAAAUUGGCGACCAGUCCCUUCACUCUAUGGUGACAGAGUGGAUAGGUGCCACACGACCCCUGGAUACGUGGAAGAAAAUAAAGGGAUAAAAUUAGACUCCAUCUUUAUAAACAUUAUUUUAUAAAUACACAACAUACGGACUGAAGAUGCAGAGGGUUUUACCUGCUGUCAGCAGCUCUGUGUCCUGUUUGCAGUGGUUCUCAGAGCAGAGAAGCGAUCGAGGCGACCUUUACAUAUCCACACAGUGCACAUGGUACACACAUUUAAAUCUUUA